GACGAACGCUGGCGGCGUGCUUAACACAUGCAAGUCGAACGCUGAAGCCCAGCUUGCUGGGUGGAUGAGUGGCGAACGGGUGAGUAACACGUGAGUAACCUGCCCCCUUCUUUGGGAUAACGCCCGGAAACGGGUGCUAAUACUGGAUAUUCACUUGCCUUCGCAUGGGGGUUGGUGGAAAGGGUUUUUUCUGGUGGGGGAUGGGCUCGCGGCCUAUCAGCUUGUUGGUGGGGUGAUGGCCUACCAAGGCUUUGACGGGUAGCCGGCCUGAGAGGGUGACCGGUCACAUUGGGACUGAGAUACGGCCCAGACUCCUACGGGAGGCAGCAGUGGGGAAUAUUGCACAAUGGGCGAAAGCCUGAUGCAGCGACGCCGCGUGAGGGAUGGAGGCCUUCGGGUUGUAAACCUCUUUCGCUCAUGGUCAAGCCGCAACAAUGGUUGUGGUGAGGGUAGUGGGUAAAGAAGCGCCGGCUAACUACGUGCCAGCAGCCGCGGUAAUACGUAGGGCGCGAGCGUUGUCCGGAAUUAUUGGGCGUAAAGGGCUUGUAGGCGGUUGGUCGCGUCUGCCGUGAAAUCCUCUGGCUUAACUGGGGGCGUGCGGUGGGUACGGGCUGACUUGAGUGCGGUAGGGGAGACUGGAACUCCUGGUGUAGCGGUGGAAUGCGCAGAUAUCAGGAAGAACACCGGUGGCGAAGGCGGGUCUCUGGGCCGUUACUGACGCUGAGGAGCGAAAGCGUGGGGAGCGAACAGG
Molecule: ribosomal RNA, 751 nt
Filed under: uncultured Actinomyces sp.
Lineage: Bacteria; Bacillati; Actinomycetota; Actinomycetes; Actinomycetales; Actinomycetaceae
Description: bacterial SSU rRNA
Rfam family: Bacterial small subunit ribosomal RNA
Source: RNAcentral